Molecule: ribosomal RNA, 194 nt
Filed under: Pneumocystis jirovecii
Lineage: Eukaryota; Fungi; Ascomycota; Pneumocystomycetes; Pneumocystales; Pneumocystaceae
Description: partial large subunit ribosomal RNA
Rfam family: Bacterial large subunit ribosomal RNA
Source: RNAcentral
UGUUUAUUCCUCUCAAAAAUAGUAGGUAUAGCACUGAAUAUCUCGAGGGAGUAUGAAAAUAUUUAUCUCAGAUAUUUAAUCUCAAAAUAACUAUUUCUUAAAAUAAAUAAUCAGACUAUGUGCGAUAAGGUAGAUAGUCGAAAGGGAAACAGCCCAGAACAGUAAUUAAAGCUCCCCAAUUAAUAUUAAGUGAA